ACUGGUUGCCUAGCAACAAGCAUCAGGUAUUUUCUGCUGUGGAGUUCCAACUGUCAUUUUUUAAUUUGGGUGCCACAAAUGAGUGUUUAAAUGGUGUGUGGUCGAACUGCCAACUGAGAAACAAUGACGUGAGAAGCCGUACAGAAAAUACCUCAAAGAAGUUAACGCUAAAUUGAGUGGAUCACAUGCCAACACUACCGUCACGAUGGGUCUGGACUGCGAGGGACCGGCGCCGCUGACAACCCAAUCUGCACCCAUCGCAUCCAUCGUCCAUAACAAACAGGGCAGCUGGUCGCUGGUGGAACGUGCAUGUGGCGGAGGUCAGGGUGUUAUUGACCAGGGAGGAUUGUGGGAAAUCCCAGAAAGGAGGACGUGAUGGUGGCGCAAGGAGGAGAUGGGACUUUAGUUUACCCUUGAGAGAACAAUGACAAAUGACGCACACACAAACACACACACACACACACACACACACACACACACACACACACACACAGAGUGGUAACAUCAAGACCUCCAAGGGCAA
Long non-coding RNA from Coregonus clupeaformis (lake whitefish), 523 nucleotides. RefSeq lists it as uncharacterized. The record is from RefSeq and is a predicted model, not a curated record. Lineage: Eukaryota; Metazoa; Chordata; Actinopteri; Salmoniformes; Salmonidae. The transcript is spliced from 3 exons.